Molecule: long non-coding RNA, 4815 nt
Filed under: Homo sapiens (human)
Lineage: Eukaryota; Metazoa; Chordata; Mammalia; Primates; Hominidae
Description: HSALNT0102507
Source: RNAcentral
CCCAGGUUCAAGUGAUUAUCAUGCCUCAGCCUGGUACUAUAGGUGUGCACCAGCACGCCCAGCUGAUUUUUUGUAUUUUUAGUAGAGACACGGUUUCACCAUGUUGGCCAGGCUGGUCUCGAACUCAUGAUCUCUGGUGAUCUGCCUGCCUUGGCCUCCCAAAGUGCUGGGAUUACAGGCGUGAGCCACCAUGCCCAGCCCAUCUGAUACCCUUUAGAAAUGGACACACGAGUCAGAAGGUGUUAUUGGAUUCUCCUUGUUAACUUAUUGCACAACUUGGGGCCUUGUGAUUGAAUGGGUGUUGAAUUUGGAUACACAGGAUUGAGUCAUCAAGGGACCAUCAGAGGAAGAGCCUAGUAACCACUUUCUUUUCCCUCUGUCUAUCAUUGUCCUCCCAGGUAUGAGUGAAAUCAUUCAUUUUUCACUGAACGCUUACUUCAUGCUGGGACCUAAGCAACAACUGUGGCGACAAUGGACUUAUUGGUAAUUUACUAUGUGCAGACACUCUCCUCACUUUUUGACAGAGAACGUUGAUUAGAUGACCAAAAGUGCCCGGCCCUUUGCCAAGUGUGAUAGAAAACAGGGAGAAGGUAUCAUCAUCGUUUCACAGAUGCCUACAUUCCAAAGGAUCUCAUCAGAGCAUAAGAGCUCUUCCAGCUGUUGUUUAUCCAUGAAUUAUUAUUGCAAUGCUUAACCGGAGAUAGAAACUCACCAUGAGCGUAUCAACCUUUCCUCUUCAGAAGUUUCACUUCAGUUUGAAAGAAAACGCAACUGGUGAAACAAUUGCUGUGUGUCAUAAAUUAUAGGUAUCUGACAUUCAUUACAAGGAAAGCAACAGUCAAAUAUCAUGGGACUCAUAUUUAUUUAUGUCUAUAUUAUCUGUAGAUAUUAUAGAUAAUAUAUAUGUAUACUUUGACAGAGAAGGAAGAACACCACUCUGGAGUGUUUAAUCUACCAUAGUUUGAUACUGUCUUUCUUGUUUGUGCCAAUUUGAAUUACUUGGUUCUGUUUUUUGGUUAUCUGCAAUUAGUGUGCUAUUUAUUUCCAGAAUAGAGGAAACUGAAGCUUACUCUGUGUACACAAAAGAAUACUGUACCCAUUCAGUCAUGUACAAAUAGAGUUAUCUCAUGGAAAAUUCAUUUUUUUUCUUGUUUUGGUACUUUUCCUGAAGUUUUAGAAUAUGUUCUACUUUUGUCUGUGACACAAAUUUUGGAUCUUUUGAUACUGUGGAGGACACACUGCAGUUGAGCCUGCAAACUGAUAACUGUCUUUUUGGUGGCACCCUGUCUUGGUCAUUACUGACAUCAAAGCACAUUCUUCCUCCAUCCUGAUAGGUACAUAACAUAUGGGGUGCAGCUUGCAGUGUGUAAAAUAUACCAUGCAGAUAUGGACAUAAAAAUAGACACAUUAAUCAUGGAACAGGAUAGAGAACCUAGAAACAAACCUGUGCAUUUAUGGUCGAUUGAUUCUCAACAAAGAUGCCAAAAACAUACAAUAAAAAAGGACAGUUUGUCUGAUAAGUGGUAUUGGAAAACUAGAUAUCCACAAGCAGAAAAAUGAAAUUGGAGUCUUAUCUAACACCAUAUGCAAAUAUCAACACAAAACAAAUUAAACACUUAAAUGUAAGACAUGAACUGUGAAACUACUAAAAGAAAACAAAGAGGAUAUACUUUACUACAUUCAUCUGAGCAAAGAUUUCUUAGAUAGGAUCACAAAACCAUAGUCAACAAAGAAAAAUAAACAAAUCAGAUUGCAUCAAACUAAACAGCUUCUGCACAGCAAAGGAAACAAUAGAGCUAAGAGAUAGUUCGUGGAGUGGGAGAAAAUAUUUGCAAACCAUAUAAGUGGCUAAUACCCAAAACAUAUAAGGAACUCAAUGCAAUAGCAAGAAAACAAAUAAUCCAAUAAAAAUUGGGCAAAGGACCUCAAUAGACACUUAUCAAAAGAAGACAUACGUGGCUGCCAGAUAUAUUAAAAAAUGUUCAUCAUCACUAUCAUCAAGAAAAUGCAAAUUAAUACCACAAUGAGAUAUCACCCCACACCUGUUAGAAUGGCUAUCAUCAAAAAGACAAAAGAUAAAUGUUGGCGAGGGAGUGCCGACAAGGGAACCCUUAUGCAAUGUUGGUGGAAAUGUCAAUUAAUACAGCCGUUAUGGAAAACGGUAUGGAGACUCCUCAGAAAACUAAAAAUGUAUCUACCAUAUGAUCCUUCAAUCCCACUGGCAGUAUAUAGUCAAAGGAAUUGAAAUCCGUAUUCCAAAGAUACCUGCACUCUCAUGUUCAUUGAAGCAUUAUUCAUAAUGGGUAAGAUAUGGAAGCACUCUGUGUCCAUCAAGGAAUGAAUGGAUCAGGAAAAUGUGGUAUAUAUGCACAAUGAAAUACUAUUCAGCCUUAAAAAAAGGGAAAAUCCCUGUGAUCCCAGCACCUUGGGAGGCCGAGGAGGCGGAUCAUGAGGUCAGGAGAUCAAGACCACCCUGGCUAACACGGUGAAACCCUGUCUCUACUAAAAAUACAAAAAAUUAGGCGGGCGUGGUGGUGGGCGCCUGGAGUCCCAGCUACUAGGGAGGCUGAGGGAGGAGAAUGGCGUGAACCUGGGAAGGUGGAGCUUGCAGUGAGCAGAGAUCGGGCCACUGCACUCCAGGCUGGGGGACAGAGCGAGACUCUGUCUCAAAAAAAAAAAAAAAAACCACGGAAAAUCCUCUCAUUUUUAACAACAUGGAUAAACCUGGAGGACAUUAUGCUAAGUGAAAUAAGCCAGGCACAGAAAGGCAAAUACUGCAUCAUCUCACACGUAUGAGGAAUCUAAAAACGUUGAAAUUGUAGAAGUAGAGAGUAGAAUGAUGUUACUAGAAGCUGGGGAAAGGGAGUGGUUGGAAAAAAGGGAGUUGUUGAUCAGAGGGUACAAAGUUUCAGUUAGACAGGAGGAAUAAGCUUUAGAGAUCUAUCACAUAGAAUUGAGACUAUAAUAAUCAUAGAGUUGUUAAAGGCAUACAUUUUGAAUGUUUCAACACACACAAAAAUGACAAGUAUGUGAAGUGAUGGAUUUGUUAACUAGCCUGAUUGUAAACAUAUAUCAAAACAUCACAUUGUACCUCAUAAAUAUAUACAGUUAGUAUUUGUCCACAAAAAUAAAAUUCAAAAAAAUAACCAAAAAAAAAAAAAAAUACCAGGCUAGUCAUUUGUUCAUCUUACCAUUAAACUGGUGGGUUUUUUUGAAAAUAGGUAUUUUCUGAGGAAUCAAAUCAAAUAGAAUUUGAAACAUUAAUGAAAUAAUUUAAAAUAAUUCUUUAGGAAAAAUUAAGUUUUUCAGAAAAGCGCAUUGUUGCUUAAUUUUGUGAAGUUGAUUCACUGCCUUUGGUUUUGAGUUUUGUAUUUUACAGAGCAUAACAAGGAAGUCAGUAUUCCCUUUGUGUGUUCUUAAAAUCUUUUAGAAACUGAAUAUUAUUGUUUCAUAAAUGUAUUUUGAAUCUAGUCAUUUCAAAUGCUGUGAGGUAUAGAUAAUAAACCCCUGGUUUCUGACAUUCUCUUCUAUAUAAUUGAGUUGUUUGAGCAACUAUUUCUCAUGUUUGCUUUACACAUUUGUGACUUCUUUAUCGAUUUCAUUUUUUUCAACAUUUUGGUACACCAGACUUUAUUACCUGAGAAUAAGUUGAAUUUUUCCCAUAUUUGCUAGAGUGAAAUAAGAGUAAAUUGCUGCAAUAUUCCCAUUUCAAUAUGAGUAUGUCCUUAUGGUUUUUUCAGUAUGUUUAAAUAUUUCCUUAAACAUUUUAACCAGAGCUCUCUUUGGAGCAUCCUUGACAUACUGAUAUGUAAGAAUCAUUUUUCUUUUCAAGUUAUACAUAACAGUUUAAUGAACAUAUAUAUGUAAAAUUAACAUUUUUCUUCAAAAGCAAAAUUAGUAAGAGUGCACAUGAGCAGAAAUGAGAAGGAAAGGAGAAAGAUACAAUAAUUCCACUUUAAAUUAUUUUCCGAUAUUAUUGGAACUUGUUAAAAAUGUAAAGCUGGAUAAUUUGGCCUAUUAUGUGCCACAGUCUGUGAAUUGCUAUGAAAGCUGGCAUUUAGUCCCUGAUUACAUACAGGGAUAAAGGGCUAUGCUACCAUGGUCCUACAUAGACUACAAGGACUACCAUGGGCCACAGAACAUUGAAGGAAAAAUAGGUGAAGAGAGGCAGUGACGAGAUAAGUUCCCUACCUUGCACCCUCUGAGUUCUCUUUGGACUUGUGGAAGAGAACAGCUCAUACACAUGCUGUGUGUAAAUAACAAAAACAUAAAACUGAAGCAAGGUCCUUGUAAGAAACCGUUUUUGUGUGUCAUCAUUUUUCUGCUUUGCACAGGCCAACAUUUAUAAUGAGUAUAUUUCUGGGUAAAGCAAGCAUGAAGAAAGACUACAAUACAAAUUCCAUAAAAGGCUAUAGAGUGUAUGAAAUUCAUGACCAAUACUGACUACACAAAAAUCUUAAUUUUGCACCCAGAUAAUUCUUAGCAUUUUAACUAAAUACAGCUUAGCUCACACUAAGUGAUUCUGCAUGUCCUAGUUAAAAUUAGGAACAACAUGAAAACUAGUUAAGUGGGUUCCUACAAAACAGUGUAAAGAGAAAGUCCUCUCACUGACAAGCAAUUAAUUUAUAAGCACAAAACCCAUAUUUGUACUAUCAAAAUUACAAAUGAUAUUCAACAAUCAUUUUUUGCUGGGUGAAGUUUCAAUCACUAGCUAACUUCAAAAUUUUAGUUUAAAGAAGGAGAAAGAGUUGUUUGGUCUAAAGAGGAGAGAGAUUGUUUUAUCAAAAGCCCAAGUCAUGCCUGUGAAUAAAAUGA